This 466-nucleotide ribosomal RNA is filed under the name uncultured bacterium. RNAcentral describes it as "partial 16S ribosomal RNA". It matches the Rfam family "Bacterial small subunit ribosomal RNA", at positions 28 to 507 of the family's 1533-position model. The record is from RNAcentral.
GACGAACGCUGGCGGCGUGCUUAACACAUGCAAGUCGAACGGAAAGGCCCUGCUUUGGUGGGGUGCUCGAGUGGCGAACGGGUGAGUAACACGUGAGUAACCUGCCCUUGACUUUGGGAUAACUUCAGGAAACUGGGGCUAAUACCGGAUAGGAGCUCCUGCUGCAUGGUGGGGGUUGGAAAGUUUCGGCGGUUGGGGAUGGACUCGCGGCUUAUCAGCUUGUUGGUGGGGUAGUGGCUUACCAAGGCUUUGGGGUAGCCGGCCUGAGAGGGUGACCGGCCACAUUGGGACUGAGAUACGGCCCAGACUCCUACGGGAGGCAGCAGUGGGGAAUAUUGCACAAUGGGCGGAAGCCUGAUGCAGCAACGCCGCGUGCGGGAUGACGGCCUUCGGGUUGUAAACCGCUUUCGCCUGUGACGAAGCGUGAGUGACGGUAAUGGGUAAAGAAGCACCGGCUAACUACGUG